AUCACAGUAUGGUUACCCAGAGAUUAUUUGAUAUGGAAAUUUAAACGGCCGCAUUAGAUCUUUGAGAUCCUACAUCUGUAUAUCUCUCCAGCCCAGAUACUCUACUGUACUCGACACAAAGACCUGUACUCGACACAAAGAUCUGUACUCGACACAAAGAUCUGUAGUCGACACAAAGAUCUGUACUCGACACAAAGAUCUGUACUCGACACAAAGAUCUGUACUCGACACAAAGAUCUGUACUCGACACAAAGAUCUGUGCUCGACGCAAAGAUCUGUACUCGACACAAAGAUCUGUAGUCGACACAAGGAUCUGUACUCAACACAAAGUGUUGGUGGGGGUAACUAGGGACUAGAGGGGUGGUGGUGGAAUAUGUGAGAGAGAGGUCUGUAAAGGGUAAAGGGUAGUGGAGUCAAUCAGAGAGAAGGCUGUGUAAAGGGUAUAGGGUAGUGGUGUCUGUGUGAGAGAGGGCUGUGUUAAGGGUAAAGGGCAGUGGUGUCUGUGAGAGAGAGGGCUGUGUUAAGGGUAUAGGGUAGUGGUGUCUGUGUGAGAGAGGGCUGUGUUAAUGGUAUAGGGUAGUGGUGUCUGUGUGAGAGAGGGCUGUGUUAAGGGUAAAGGGCAGUGGUGUCUGUGAGAGAGAGGGCUGUGUUAAGGGUAUAGGGUAGUGGUGUCUGUGUGAGAGAGGGCUGUGUUAAGGGUAAAGGGCAGUGGUGUCUGUGAGAGAGAGGGCUGUGUUAAUGGUAUAGGGUAGUGGUGUCUAUCAGAGAGAGGGCUGUGUUAAGGGUAAAGGGUAGUGGUGUCUGUGAGAGAGAGGGCUGUGUUAAGGGUAAAGGGCAGUGGUGUCUGUGAGAGAGAGGGCUGUGUUAAUGGUAUAGGGUAGUGGUGUCUAUCAGAGAGAGGGCUGUGUUAAGGGUAAAGGGUAGUGGUGUCUGUGAG
This 937-nucleotide long non-coding RNA is filed under the name Salmo salar (Atlantic salmon). RNAcentral describes it as "lncRNA (ENSSSAG00000115127.1)". The record is from RNAcentral. Lineage: Eukaryota; Metazoa; Chordata; Actinopteri; Salmoniformes; Salmonidae.